GGAUUGUGGCUCAGUGGUAGAGCGCUCACCUAGCACUCGGGAGGCCCUGGGUUUGAUCCUCAGCACCA
This 68-nucleotide transfer RNA is filed under the name Marmota monax (woodchuck). RNAcentral's name for it is "tRNA.Ala". The record is from RNAcentral. Lineage: Eukaryota; Metazoa; Chordata; Mammalia; Rodentia; Sciuridae.